GCUUCUUUGGCCCAGUGGUAAGGCGUCUCACUCGUACUAUGUUCCGGGACUAUGAGAAGGUAAGUCGACUGCUGCUCAACCGAGUGAGAACUAUGCUGAUAUCCCCACGGAUCAAGAGUUCAAUUCUCUUAAGAAGCA
This 138-nucleotide transfer RNA is filed under the name Exophiala aquamarina CBS 119918. It matches the Rfam family "tRNA". Rfam says of the family: Transfer RNA (tRNA) molecules are approximately 80 nucleotides in length. Their secondary structure includes four short double-helical elements and three loops (D, anti-codon, and T loops). Lineage: Eukaryota; Fungi; Ascomycota; Eurotiomycetes; Chaetothyriales; Herpotrichiellaceae. The record is from Rfam by way of RNAcentral.